GGCCAGAUGGUACAGCCUGUUGCUCC
Molecule: non-coding RNA, 26 nt
Filed under: Homo sapiens (human)
Lineage: Eukaryota; Metazoa; Chordata; Mammalia; Primates; Hominidae
Source: RNAcentral